GAUGAAGAACGCAGCGAAAUGCGAUAAGUAGUGUGAAUUGCAGAAUUCAGUGAAUCAUCGAAUCUUUGAACGCACAUUGCGCCCUUUGGUAUUCCUUAGGGCAUGCCUGUUCGAGCGUCAUUUAAACCUUCAAGCUAAGCUUGGUGUUGGGUGACUGUCCGCUUCACGGCGGACUCGCCUCAAAAUUAUUGGCGGCCGGUACAUUGGCUUCGAGCGCAGCAGAAACGCGAACUCGGGCCCGUCGUAUUGGCUCCCAGAAGCUAUCUUCACAAUUUUGACCUCGGAUCAGGUAGGGAUACCCGCUGAACUUAAGCAUAUCAAUAAGCAGAGGA
RNAcentral lists this unclassified non-coding RNA (332 nucleotides) under soil metagenome. RNAcentral's name for it is "partial contains 5.8S ribosomal RNA, internal transcribed spacer 2, and large subunit ribosomal RNA". The stretch from base 1 to 120 matches the Rfam family "5.8S ribosomal RNA", at positions 35 to 154 of the family's 154-position model. The record is from RNAcentral.